RNAcentral lists this ribosomal RNA (759 nucleotides) under Halanaerocella sp. Delta1. RNAcentral's name for it is "bacterial SSU rRNA". It matches the Rfam family "Bacterial small subunit ribosomal RNA", at positions 81 to 840 of the family's 1533-position model. Lineage: Bacteria; Bacillati; Bacillota; Clostridia; Halanaerobiales; Halobacteroidaceae. The record is from RNAcentral.
GGGUAACGAGUAAAGCAGCGAACGGGUGAGUAACGCGUAAGUUAUCUACCUUUAAAUCUGGGAUAACUACUCGAAAGGGUGGCUAAUACUGGAUAUACUCUUUUUAGAGGAAAGAUGGAUUACUAUCGUUUAAAGAUGAGCUUGCGUCCCAUUAGCUAGUUGGUAAGAUAACAGCUUACCAAGGCAACGAUGGGUAGCCGGCCUGAGAGGGCGAUCGGCCACACUGGGACUGAGACACGGCCCAGACUCCUACGGGAGGCUGCAGUGGGGAAUCUUCCGCAAUGGGCGAAAGCCUGACGGAGCAAUGCCGCGUGAGUGAUGAAGGCCUUAGGGUCGUAAAGCUCUGUCUUGAGGGAAGAACAACUUAGUAGUGAACAACUGCUAGGUAUGACGGUACCUCAAAAGAAAGCCCCGGCUAAUUACGUGCCAGCAGCCGCGGUAACACGUAAGGGGCAAGCGUUGUCCGGAAUUACUGGGCGUAAAGGGUGCGCAGGCGGUCUAGCAAGUCAGAGGUGAAAGCCACUAGCUCAACUAGUGAAAGUCCUUUGAAACUGUUAGACUUGAGAGUAGAAGAGGGAGAUGGAAUUCCUAGUGUAGUGGUGAAAUACGUAGAUAUUAGGAAGAAUACCAAUGGUGAAAACAGUCUCCUGGUCUGACUCUGACGCUGAGGCACGAAAGCUAGGGUAUCAAACGGGAUUAGAUACCCCGGUAGUCCUAGCUGUAAACGCUGGAUACUAGGUGUUGGGGGUUCAACUCCCU